GGGCGGUUAGCUCAGCCCGGUUAGAGUGCCUGCUUGACAUGCAGGAGGUCGUUGGUUCGAUCCCAAUACCGCCCACCA
Molecule: transfer RNA, 78 nt
Filed under: Bacillota bacterium
Lineage: Bacteria; Bacillati; Bacillota
Description: tRNA-Val
Rfam family: tRNA
About the family: Transfer RNA (tRNA) molecules are approximately 80 nucleotides in length. Their secondary structure includes four short double-helical elements and three loops (D, anti-codon, and T loops).
Source: RNAcentral